RNAcentral lists this ribosomal RNA (923 nucleotides) under uncultured bacterium. RNAcentral's name for it is "bacterial SSU rRNA". It matches the Rfam family "Bacterial small subunit ribosomal RNA", at positions 40 to 999 of the family's 1533-position model. The record is from RNAcentral.
CAGAUCAGGCCUAACACAUGCAAGUCGAACGAGACCUUCGGGUCUAGUGGCGCACGGGUGCGUAACGCGUGGGAAUCCGCCCAAAGGUUCGGAUAUAACUCGGGGAAACCCGUGCUAAUACCGGAUAAUGUCUUCGGACCAAAGAUUUAUUGCCUUUGGAUGAGCCCGCGUUCGGAUUUAGCUAGUUGGUGAGGUAAAAGCUCACCAAGGCGACGAUCCGUAGCUGGUCUGAGAGGAUGAUCAGCCACCACUGGGACUGAGACACGGCCCAGACUCCUACCGGGAGGCAGCAGUGGGGAAUAUUGGACAAUGGGCGAAAGCCUGAUCCAGCAAUGCCGCGUGAGUGAUGAAGGCCUUGGGGUUGUAAAGCUCUUUUGCCCGGGAUGAUAAUGACAGUACCCGGGAGAAUAAGCUCCGGGCUAACUCCGUGCCAGCAGCCGCGGUAAUACGGAGGGAGCUAGCGUUGUUCGGAAUUACUGGGCGUAAAGCGUGCGCGGCGGAUUGUUAAGCAAGAUGUGAAAUCCCCGGGCUUAACCUGGGAAUGGCAUUUUGAACUGGCAGUCUAGAGUGCGUCAGAGGGGGGUGGAAUUCCACGUGUAGCAGUGAAAUGCGUAGAGAUGUGGAGGAACACCAAUGGCGAAGGCAGCCCCCUGGGAUGACACUGACGCUCAUGUACGAAAGCGUGGGUAGCAAACAGGAUUAGAUACCCUGGUAGUCCACGCCCUAAACGAUGUCAACUGGUUGUUGGGGGGAGUGAAAUCCCUUAGUAACGAAGCUAACGCGUGAAGUUGACCGCCUGGGGAGUACGGUCGCAAGAUUAAAACUCAAAGGAAUUGACGGGGACCCGCACAAGCGGUGGAUGAUGCGGUUUAAUUCGAUGCAACGCGAAAAACCUUACCCACCUUCGACAUGUACGGAAUCCU